GACGGGCCCGCACAAGCAGCGGAGCGUGUGGUUAAUUCGAUGUUACACGAAGAACCUUACCAGGGUUUGACAUGCAAGUGGUAGGAAGCCGAAAGGUGACCGACCCUUCGGGGAGCUUGCACAGGUGCUGCAUGGCUGUCGUCAGCUCGUGUCGUGAGAUGUUCGGUUAAGUCCGCUAACGAGCGCAACCCUCGCUGUGUGUUAUAUGUGUCACACGGGACUGCCGGUCUUAAGCCGGAGGAAGGUGGGGAUGAUGUCAAGUCAGCAUGGCCUUUAUAUCCUGGGCUACACAUACGCUACAAUGGCCAACACAAUAGGUUGCUAAGCCGCGAGGUGGCGCCAAUCCAUAAAGUUGGUCUCAGUUCAGAUUGUAGGCUGCAACCCGCCUGCAUGAAGAUGGAGUUGCUAGUAACCGCAGGUCAGCUAUACUGCGGUGAAUACGUUCCCGGGGCUU
Molecule: ribosomal RNA, 454 nt
Filed under: uncultured Leptolinea sp.
Lineage: Bacteria; Bacillati; Chloroflexota; Anaerolineae; Anaerolineales; Anaerolineaceae
Description: bacterial SSU rRNA
Rfam family: Bacterial small subunit ribosomal RNA
Source: RNAcentral